This 439-nucleotide ribosomal RNA is filed under the name uncultured bacterium. RNAcentral describes it as "bacterial SSU rRNA". It matches the Rfam family "Bacterial small subunit ribosomal RNA", at positions 340 to 772 of the family's 1533-position model. The record is from RNAcentral.
UACGGGAGGCAGCAGUGGGGGAAUAUUGCACAAUGGGCGCAAGCCUGAUGCAGCCAUGCCGCGUGUAUGAAGAAGGCCUUCGGGUUGUAAAGUACUUUCAGUCGUGAGGAAGGUGUUAAGGUUAAUAACCUUAGCAAUUGACGUUAGCGACAGAAGAAGCACCGGCUAACUCCGUGCCAGCAGCCGCGGUAAUACGGAGGGUGCGAGCGUUAAUCGGAAUUACUGGGCGUAAAGGGCACGCAGGCGGUUAAUUAAGUUGGAUGUGAAAUCCCCGGGCUUAACCUGGGAAUGGCAUUCAAGACUGGUUAGCUAGAGUCUUGUAGAGGGGGUAGAAUUCCAUGUGUAGCGGUGAAAUGCGUAGAGAUGUGGAGGAAUACCGGUGGCGAAGGCGGCCCCUGGACAAAGACUGACGCUCAUGUGCGAAAGCGUGGGGAGCAAA